RNA transcript from Vigna radiata var. radiata (mung bean), 990 nucleotides. RefSeq lists it as uncharacterized. Lineage: Eukaryota; Viridiplantae; Streptophyta; Magnoliopsida; Fabales; Fabaceae. The transcript is spliced from 5 exons. The record is from RefSeq and is a predicted model, not a curated record.
ACGGUGUGGCCCACCAUUUUUAAUUUUUAUUAAAUGUAGAAGGUUAGUUUUGGAAAAAAAAAUUGAAAGAAUCCGUGUAAUUUGAAUGUAAACGCCACGUGGGUGUGUCAUCCUACCGCUGCUCUAAUUUUUUUUUUGAAAAAACGGUUUUCACUUUCCCCCGUUCUCUUUUUCAUGCGUUCUCCCUGGCUUCUCCCUCGCAUUCUCAUUUGGUUCUGCAGCGUUCUCCACUAUCUUUGGUUCGCAACCUAUGUUGGCUUCGCGUUUGGUUGGCAAUGUUCCCCUUUGCAGGGUUCUUUUCAAUGCCAGCCCUACCUUACUCUCUCAACGACGACCCUGUAUCCCAUAAUAACAACAACCUUGCAUCUCAUCUUUGCUUUAGGAGAUGAAGCUUGGAUGAGAAUGUCCAUUUUUAUUCACUGUGUAGAGGUGUGGCUGGUUUGCUUUCAAGGUAGGCAAUGGAAUCAUAAGUCUGCUUGGGAUUGUUACAAAAGUUUUGGGAUUUGAUGGAUUGUAGGUUCACCUCUAUUCUUGUGGACUCUUUCCAUGCAUUUUUUGCUGGUGACUACUUAUUCAAUCGAUCUACCCCUGUUGAGAUGAAGAGAAUUGCAGUGCUUGAACCCUCACAAAGCUAAAUGUUUUUUGGUGCUAAUAUGUGCGUAAUAUUAAAUCUACAGACCUUUGUGUUCAAGAGGCCAACCAUGAUUCUAGAUUGUUGAUUUUUUUCUACAGCAUUCUUGAGUUUCUUCUCUUUAAUUUAGCAUUGUUCAAGGUAAAAGGAUAAAAGCUUCAUGUUUUCUUAAAUUAUACAUGUGUACCUUAUAUGAAAGUAAAAUUGUUCUCUAUUGACUUUCUUAAAGGAUAUACCUGACAAUGAAGGACAUGAAAAAUUUGGUAUUCAAUUUUUGUUAGUGCAUUUGGGUCAGAAGAAGGUACGGUCUUCUUAUGUAUAAUCUCAGAGGACUUGGUUGUGCUCUCUUGUAUCCUUGA